AUUAACGCUAGCGGCAGGCACAAUACAUGCAAGUUGAACGGCAGCACAGGUAGCAAUACUGGGUGGCGAGUGGCGCACGGGUGCGUAACACGUAUGCAACCUACCCUAUACAGGCGAAUAACCUUUAGAAAUGAGGGCUAAUACGCCGUAGUAUUACAGAUGGGCAUCUAUUUGUAAUUAAAGAUUUAUCGGUAUAGGAUGGGCAUGCGUCCCAUUAGUUAGUUGGUAAGGUAACGGCUUACCAAGACGAUGAUGGGUAGGGG
Molecule: ribosomal RNA, 263 nt
Filed under: uncultured bacterium
Lineage: Bacteria
Description: partial 16S ribosomal RNA
Rfam family: Bacterial small subunit ribosomal RNA
Source: RNAcentral